RNAcentral lists this ribosomal RNA (501 nucleotides) under uncultured bacterium. RNAcentral's name for it is "partial 16S ribosomal RNA". It matches the Rfam family "Bacterial small subunit ribosomal RNA", at positions 30 to 523 of the family's 1533-position model. The record is from RNAcentral.
AUUGAACGCUGGCGGCAGGCUUAACACAUGCAAGUCGAGCGGGGGAAGGUAGCUUGCUACCGGACCUAGCGGCGGACGGGUGAGUAAUGCUUAGGAAUCUGCCUAUUAGUGGGGGACAACAUCUCGAAAGGGAUGCUAAUACCGCAUACGUCCUAUGGGAGAAAGCAGGGGAUCUUCGGACCUUGCGCUAAUAGAUGAGCCUAAGUCGGAUUAGCUAGUUGGUGGGGUAAAGGCCUACAAAGGCGACGAUCUGUAGCGGGUCUGAGAGGAUGAUCCGCCACACUGGGACUGAGACACGGCCCAGACUCCUACGGGAGGCAGCAGUGGGGAAUAUUGGACAAUGGGGGGAACCCUGAUCCAGCCAUGCCGCGUGUGUGAAGAAGGCCUUAUGGUUGUAAAGCACUUUAAGCGAGGAGGAGGCUACUUUAGUUAAUACCUAGAGAUAGUGGACGUUACUCGCAGAAUAAGCACCGGCUAACUCUGUGCCAGCAGCCGCCGUAA